GAAUAUGAAGCAAUUUUGCAAUUAGUUUCGACCUAAUCAUUGAUAUUAACUUAUCCUUAUUCU
Molecule: transfer RNA, 63 nt
Filed under: Symploce macroptera
Lineage: Eukaryota; Metazoa; Arthropoda; Insecta; Blattodea; Blattellidae
Description: tRNA-Arg
Source: RNAcentral